RNAcentral lists this ribosomal RNA (1519 nucleotides) under metagenome. RNAcentral describes it as "bacterial SSU rRNA". It matches the Rfam family "Bacterial small subunit ribosomal RNA". The record is from RNAcentral.
AGAGUUUGAUCCUGGCUCAGAACGAACGCUGGCGGCGUGCUUAAUACAUGCAAGUCGUGCGAGAAAGUUUAGCUUGCUAAACGAGUAAAGCGGCAAACGGGUGAGUAACACGUAAACAAUCUGCCCUUAAGUUCGGAAUAACAUUUCCAACGAGAUGCUAAUACCGGAUGUGGUCUAGAGUUCGCAUGGAUUCUGGAUUAAAGGUGACCUCUACUUGUAAGUUACUGCUUAGGGAUGAGUUUGCGGACCAUUAGCUUGUUGGUGGGGUAAAGGCCUACCAAGGCUGCGAUGGUUAGCCGACCUGAGAGGGUGAUCGGCCACAUUGGGACUGAGAUACGGCCCAGACUCCUACGGGAGGCAGCAGUAGGGAAUUUUGCGCAAUGGACGAAAGUCUGACGCAGCAACGCCGCGUAGGGAUGACGGUCUUCGGAUUGUAAACCUCUGUUGAGUGGGAAGAAAAGCCAAGUUGCUAAUAUCGCUUGGUCUGACGGUACCACUCGAGGAAGCUCCGGCUAACUACGUGCCAGCAGCCGCGGUAAUACGUAGGGAGCAAGCGUUGUUCGGAAUCACUGGGUGUAAAGGGAGCGUAGGCGGAGCGGUAAGUUAGGAGUUAAAUACACAGGCUCAACCUGUGGCCUGCUUUUAAUACUGCCGUUCUUGAGUAUUGGAGAGGGAAAUGGAAUUCCAGGUGUAGCGGUGGAAUGCGUAGAUAUCUGGAAGAACACCAGUUGCGAAGGCGGUUUCCUGGCCAAAUACUGACGCUGAGGCUCGAAAGCUAGGGGAGCGAACAGGAUUAGAUACCCUGGUAGUCCUAGCCGUAAACGAUGGAUACUAGUUGUUGGAGGAGUCAAUCCUUUCAGUGACGAAGCUAACGCAUUAAGUAUCCCACCUGGGGAGUACGCUCGCAAGGGUGAAACUCAAAGGAAUUGACGGGGGCCCGCACAAGCGGUGGAGCAUGUGCUUUAAUUCGAUGCAACGCGAAGGACCUUACCUGGGUUUGACAUGGGGAUGAAACUUUUUGGAGACAGAAAGCCUUCCUUCGGGAACAUUCUACACAGGUGCUGCAUGGUUGUCGUCAGCUCGUGUCGUGAGAUGUUGGGUUAAGUCCCGCAACGAGCGCAACCCUUGUCCUUAGUUGCCAGCGAGUAAUGUCGGGAACUCUAGGGAGACUGCCUGGUACAACCAGGAGGAAGGUGGGGAUGACGUCAAAUCAUCAUGGCCCUUACGCCCAGGGCUAGACACGUGCUACAAUGGCAGGAACAGCGGGACGCUAAGUCGUGAGGCUACGCUAAUCCCUUAAAUCCUGUCUCAGUUCGGAUUGGAGUCUGCGACUCGACUCCAUGAAGGUGGAAUCGCUAGUAAUCGCGGAUCAGCAUGCCGCGGUGAAUACGUUCCCGGGCCUUGUACACACCGCCCGUCAAGCCAUGAAAGACGGUAGUACCCGAAGUCGUGCGCCUAACCGCAAGGAGGGCAGCGCCUAAGGUAAGACUGUUAAUUGGGGCUAAGUCGGAACAAGGUA